Molecule: transfer RNA, 73 nt
Filed under: Bos taurus (domestic cattle)
Lineage: Eukaryota; Metazoa; Chordata; Mammalia; Artiodactyla; Bovidae
Also listed under: 1 other name
Rfam family: tRNA
About the family: Transfer RNA (tRNA) molecules are approximately 80 nucleotides in length. Their secondary structure includes four short double-helical elements and three loops (D, anti-codon, and T loops).
Source: Rfam by way of RNAcentral
UCCCUGGUAGUCCAGUGGUCAGGACUCAGCAUUUUCUUUGCCAAGAGCCUAGGUUCAAUCCCUGGUAAGGGAA